This 1202-nucleotide ribosomal RNA is filed under the name Vibrio cholerae. Its description in RNAcentral is "partial 23S ribosomal RNA". It matches the Rfam family "Bacterial large subunit ribosomal RNA", at positions 1431 to 2618 of the family's 2925-position model. The record is from RNAcentral. Lineage: Bacteria; Pseudomonadati; Pseudomonadota; Gammaproteobacteria; Vibrionales; Vibrionaceae.
UAAUAUUCCCGUACUUCUGACUAUUGCGAUGGGGGGACGGAGAAGGCUAGGUGGGCCAGGCGACGGUUGUCCUGGUUCAAGUGCGUAGGCUUGAGAGUUAGGUAAAUCCGGCUCUCUCUAAGGCUGAGACACGACGUCGAGCUACUACGGUAGUGAAGUCAUUGAUGCCAUGCUUCCAGGAAAAGCCUCUAAGCUUCAGAUAGUCAGGAAUCGUACCCCAAACCGACACAGGUGGUCGGGUAGAGAAUACCAAGGCGCUUGAGAGAACUCGGGUGAAGGAACUAGGCAAAAUGGUACCGUAACUUCGGGAGAAGGUACGCUCUUGAUGGUGAAGUCCCUCGCGGAUGGAGCUGACGAGAGUCGCAGAUACCAGGUGGCUGCAACUGUUUAUUAAAAACACAGCACUGUGCAAAAUCGCAAGAUGACGUAUACGGUGUGACGCCUGCCCGGUGCCGGAAGGUUAAUUGAUGGGGUUAGCGCAAGCGAAGCUCUUGAUCGAAGCCCCGGUAAACGGCGGCCGUAACUAUAACGGUCCUAAGGUAGCGAAAUUCCUUGUCGGGUAAGUUCCGACCUGCACGAAUGGCGUAAUGAUGGCCACGCUGUCUCCACCCGAGACUCAGUGAAAUUGAAAUCGCUGUGAAGAUGCAGUGUACCCGCGGCUAGACGGAAAGACCCCGUGAACCUUUACUACAGCUUGGCACUGAACAUUGAACCUACAUGUGUAGGAUAGGUGGGAGGCUAUGAAGACGUGACGCCAGUUGCGUUGGAGCCGUCCUUGAAAUACCACCCUUGUAUGUUUGAUGUUCUAACUUAGACCCAUUAUCUGGGUUGAGGACAGUGCCUGGUGGGUAGUUUGACUGGGGCGGUCUCCUCCCAAAGAGUAACGGAGGAGCACGAAGGUGGGCUAAUCACGGUUGGACAUCGUGAGGUUAGUGCAAUGGCAUAAGCCCGCUUAACUGCGAGAAUGACGGUUCGAGCAGGUGCGAAAGCAGGUCAUAGUGAUCCGGUGGUUCUGUAUGGAAGGGCCAUCGCUCAACGGAUAAAAGGUACUCCGGGGAUAACAGGCUGAUACCGCCCAAGAGUUCAUAUCGACGGCGGUGUUUGGCACCUCGAUGUCGGCUCAUCACAUCCUGGGGCUGAAGUCGGUCCCAAGGGUAUGGCUGUUCGCCAUUUAAAGUGGUACGCGAGCUGGGUUUAGAACG